GAAAUGCUAUAAUUAAUGUGAAUUGCAGAAUUCAGUGAAUCAUCGAGUCUUUGAACGCACAUUGCGCCCCCUGGUAUUCCGGGGGGCAUGCCUGUCCGAGCGUCAUUGCUGCCCUCAAGCACGGCUUGUGUGUUGGGCUUCCGUCCCUGGCAACGGGGACGGGCCCAAAAGGCAGUGGCGGCACCAUGUCUGGUCCUCGAGCGUAUGGGGCUUUGUCACCCGCUCCCGUAGGUCCAGCUGGCAGCUAGCCUCGCAACCAAUCUUUUUAACCAGGUUGACCUCGGAUCAGGUAGGGAUACCCGCUGAACUUAAGC
This 314-nucleotide unclassified non-coding RNA is filed under the name plant metagenome. RNAcentral describes it as "partial contains 5.8S ribosomal RNA, internal transcribed spacer 2, and large subunit ribosomal RNA". The stretch from base 1 to 105 matches the Rfam family "5.8S ribosomal RNA", at positions 50 to 154 of the family's 154-position model. The record is from RNAcentral.